RNAcentral lists this long non-coding RNA (564 nucleotides) under Helianthus annuus (common sunflower). RNAcentral's name for it is "sRNA HanXRQr2_Chr04g0145531". The record is from RNAcentral. Lineage: Eukaryota; Viridiplantae; Streptophyta; Magnoliopsida; Asterales; Asteraceae.
UUGAGUACAAACCUUUAUAGCUAUAAGUUACACAUUAAGUUGCAAUCUGACCCGCUACCAUUAGAAUGUGACCUGCAAUCUGACCUAUGAAAUGCCACCUUGAUUUUAACCUGUUGUAAAAUACAAUGAGCUUUGCCACCCCAUACAGCAUGCAUCAAAUGACCUCUUCUUUGUGCUUUUAGAUUAGAGAUCCAUCUUCAAUAGUUAGGCUGGAAUCAAAGAAACAAAAUAUGAGGUAAUUAAGAACCAUAAACUGUAUCACAGAGCCUAACCUAUUGUUAAUCACAUUCAGGGGAUUAAUUUAGGACUCACCGGUCAAAACAUGGCCAUCAUGAAGGAUCGACUGAGGGUGAUGCUUAAGCAAACGGAUAAUUCGUAUGCUUGUGUUGCUGAAAGUGAAACCCGCUUCACCCUUAAUGAAUACAAACCUUUAUAGCUAUAAGUUACACAUUAAGUUGCAAUCUGACCCGCUACCAUUAGAAUGUGACCUGCAAUCUGACCUAUGAAAUGCCACCUUGAUUUUAACCUGUUGUAAAAUACAAUGAGCUUUGCCACCCCAUACAG